This 72-nucleotide transfer RNA is filed under the name Puccinia triticina 1-1 BBBD Race 1. RNAcentral describes it as "tRNA-Ile (AAT) (tRNA-Ile-AAT-5-1)". It matches the Rfam family "tRNA". From Rfam's summary of the family: Transfer RNA (tRNA) molecules are approximately 80 nucleotides in length. Lineage: Eukaryota; Fungi; Basidiomycota; Pucciniomycetes; Pucciniales; Pucciniaceae. The record is from RNAcentral.
GGUCGAUUAGCUUAGUCGGUAGAGCGUGGUACUAAUAAUGCCAAGGUCAUGGGUUGACCCCCAUAUUGACCA